This 22-nucleotide microRNA is filed under the name Gallus gallus (chicken). RNAcentral describes it as "gga-miR-1608". The record is from miRBase by way of RNAcentral. Lineage: Eukaryota; Metazoa; Chordata; Aves; Galliformes; Phasianidae.
UGGGACAGUGGCUGCGCCCUCU